UUUUGGUGAGUUAUUGAAGCACUGUGAAAGAUAUCGGUGCUGAAUUUCAAAAUAACUCGAAUAAGGAAUUGAUAUUUUAUAAUUAUUAUGAAUAUGCUUCUAUGAUUCAUAGCACAACAAAUAUGAAUAGAUAACUGGAGGAGUAGAAUUCGAAUCCACUAUUAUCUGACUGUAAUAAUUAAUAUAAUAACAAAGCCACAAUAUAUAGGUGUUAUUUGCUAAUCAAUUCCUUAUAUUCCUACAGAAUACACAGUUUUUCAGAGAAGAUGAAGAAUAAAUAAUUAUGGUUUACGGUUUACCGCUCAUCUGUGGUGGGGAGGUGAAAAAUUAAUUCGAAUUAGCCCGCCAAAUAAUAUUCAUAUAUAUUUUCAAUAUAUUGAAUAAAAUUCUAUUUCCUUCAAGUAUUAAUUUGAAUAAGCGAUAAUUAGUAUAAUUCCUCUUUCUGUGUGAAUGAUUCUUCUACUAUCUUGAGAUAGAAAAUGAUUUGGAGUAUUCAUGCACGCUGUAUCAACAAUUUGAAUGAUUGAAUAUGAAGACCAUAGAAUAAUGAAGAUUUAGAAUUAUGUGGAUGGUACCAUAUGUUUUUUGAAAGUGUUUAUUAUAUUAACAUAUUUAUUAUAUUAACAUUAGUUGGCCUAUGGGUGCGAUUGUUUGUAAUCUAGGAAUGAAUUCGUUUUGGAAGUCUAUUGUAAUAUGUACAGUUAUCAUAGAAAUAAUAUGACUGUAUGUCUAUGAUUGCGAUACAGUAAAUCUAUGCAUAAAUUAAUGAAUCUAUGAUUUUAUGAAUCUAUUGUUUUAUGAUCAUAUAAACGAUUCGUAUCGAUAACGAAGAAGUGAAUUUCAAGUAGGUGCAUUAUUGGGCGAAUAUAUAGUGAUUAAUUAAAUACACAAUUCAAAAUCUGCUUCAGAUUUACUGGGAUCACAGCAGAUAAUAAUUGGCAUCUUCGGUCUGAAAAAAGCAACCUUGUGAAGAUAUUGAUAAUUGGGAAUAUAAAACGAAUAGGUUCGGAAGUAAAUACCUGGUUGUGAAAAAUACUGACUGCAGUUAGUUAGGAACUUAUAUUACUUUGAGUGCGUAAAAUGAAAAUUAAACGUAAAACUAAGCCGUGGAAGAAAGUGAAGGGCAAAAACAAAGCCGCAAAAAAGGAGAUAAAAGGUAGGUUCCAUUUCGAUUAUUUUCUCAUACUGAUUUCGUAAAAAAGCUUCCAAUUAUAUG
Coccinella septempunctata (seven-spotted ladybird) is the source of this 1216-nucleotide long non-coding RNA. RefSeq lists it as uncharacterized. The record is from RefSeq and is a predicted model, not a curated record. The transcript is spliced from 3 exons. NCBI's taxonomy places the organism in Eukaryota, Metazoa, Arthropoda, Insecta, Coleoptera, Coccinellidae.